RNAcentral lists this ribosomal RNA (460 nucleotides) under uncultured bacterium. Its description in RNAcentral is "partial 16S ribosomal RNA". It matches the Rfam family "Bacterial small subunit ribosomal RNA", at positions 338 to 795 of the family's 1533-position model. The record is from RNAcentral.
CCUACGGGGGGCAGCAGUGAGGAAUAUUGGUCAAUGGGCGGAAGCCUGAACCAGCCAAGUAGCGUGCAGGAUGACGGCCCUACGGGUUGUAAACUGCUUUUAUACGGGAAUAACGCGCCUUACGUGUAGGGCUUUGCAUGUACCGUAUGAAUAAGGACCGGCUAAUUCCGUGCCAGCAGCCGCGGUAAUACGGAAGGUCCGGGCGUUAUCCGGAUUUAUUGGGUUUAAAGGGAGCGUAGGCCGCAUGUCAAGCGUGCUGUGAAAUGUCCGGGCUCAACCCGGGCCUUGCAGCGCGAACUGGCGUUCUUGAGUGGGCGAGAAGUAUGCGGAAUGCGUGGUGUAGCGGUGAAAUGCAUAGAUAUCACGCAGAACUCCGAUUGCGAAGGCAGCAUACCGGCGCCCAACUGACGCUGAAGCACGAAAGCGUGGGUAUCGAACAGGAUUAGAUACCCCUGUAGUC